Molecule: non-coding RNA, 103 nt
Organism: Termitomyces sp. Mi166#008
Lineage: Eukaryota; Fungi; Basidiomycota; Agaricomycetes; Agaricales; Lyophyllaceae
Source: the annotation of a GenBank genome assembly
GGUGAGAUGGCCGAGCGGUCUAAGGCGCCAGACUAAGGUCUCAAGAUAUUCGAGGCAAAAUCUGGUCUCUUUGGGGGCGGGAGUUCGAAUCUCCCUCUCAUCA